AGGCGGAAGAGAACGAGGACCCUAAAAAACUAAUCCGCAGUUUCCCAUAACAAAAAAAUGAACCCUCCCUUUAAAGUCCAUCGUCUUCUUCAGCAGAUGCCUGAAAUGAGUUGAAAUACACAAGAUACACAUGAGACCAAAUAUAGAUUCUAAGACCUAAAAAUUAGAGGCUACAACCAAGAAGACCGAAAAAGCUUCUUCAGUGCUUCCUCUAGAGAUAAGGCUGUCGUGAACUUAGAGUUGUAACGCAACAAACUUGCUGCGAAAUAGACCCAGAAACGACCCUGAAGCAGUAGCUAAAUCGCUGCUAAUUCCAUCACGACACAGUACCAAAAUAUUACCAAAAUUCCAGCUGAACAAUCCUCGAAACACAAGCUUUAAGUCGAGUUCGAGGUUGCGGACGAGGUCAAGUUUCCGGCGAGUUCUCUAUUCGCUUCGACCUUUGUAUUCAAGAACCUUUUCCAUAUAAAAAAGGUGCACGCCUAGAAAUUCCUUGAGAACUGGUGAACUAUUUAAAGAUCUCUCAGAUCCCGAGAAAGCAUUUAGUACAUUGAAUCGGGCUAAGAAGAAGGGUAAACAGCUAAACAGAAUGAACAAAUCAAAAAUUAAAAUGGGUGACGUCGAGAACAUCAAUGGGAACAAUAUAAAUAAUCAAGUUGACACAAACAUCAGAGUGGUAGCACCCCUAGUGCCGGAGGCUGUUCUAUAUGAUUGGGCACAACCAACUACUGACAAUAUGGCAACUGCAAUUGCAGUCCCUCUGAUACAAGAUGAGACUUUUCAAAUUACAAACAACAUGUUGCACUUGCUGCAAAACAAAGGGUUGUUCUUCGGGUUUUACAUCGAAGACCUACAUCAACAUCUCAAGAAUUUCCUGUCAAUUUGUGUCACUCAAAGACAACCGAAUAUGACACCCGAAGCAAUCAGAUUGUUUAUUGUUUCCAUUCUCAGUGCCUGGGGAGGCUCAAAUGUGGAUGAAUUUGCUCCCAAUAAUAUCUAUUGCUACAUGGGAGGAACUAGUCAAGCACUUCUUAAACAAGUUUUAUCCACCUAAUAAGACAGCAAGGCGAAUUGAUGUGAUAUUGCAGUUCAUGCAGAAACUAACUGAAACUUUGCAAGAAACUUGGGAAUAGUUUAAGGACAUAUUGGCAAAGUGUCCACACCAUGUCAUCUCGGAUCAGAUGCUAGGACAGAGAUUCUAUAUAUGUUAGGCUGACAGCUUGAAGGCCAAUGUAGAUACUUCAGCCGAGGGUGCAUUCUUGAGCAAAUUAUUCAUUGAGUGUAAGAUUCUUCUUGACAAGAUGGCUUAAAAUCCAAGCUGGAUGAUGAAUACAACACUCACUUUAAUAGUGCAUUUUGUUUCUCUUGACCCAAAAAAUACAAAUGCAGAAAACAUAGCCACUCUCAUGACCCAGAUGAGCUUGUUGACAAAGAAAUUUGAUGCGAUGGGCACGAAACAAGUUCAUAUUAUUGACACAACAAAUGGAGACCUAUGCACUCCCUGCAUAAAUCAAUCGUAUGUUUGCUCAUGGAGUGGAGAGUAACUAGGGCUUCAGAGAAGUCAUGAAUUUUAUAAAUAAUUUUGGGGGUUAAAAGCAUGGUGGACAGUAAUGGGGACCUUAAAAUCAGCAGUACAGACUAACCCAACAACAGUACAAUAGCAAUCCUGGGGGAGAACGACCACAAGUCCAAGUUGUGCCCUAUCAAAGGAAGCAGGGUUACAAUCAACAACCCCAAUAACAGUUGGCUUACCAACAGCCUCAUCAACAGUAGGUGACCAGACAAGACGACAGCUAUAUAAUAGAAAUCAAGGGCAUGCUGCAACAAAUCAUUGGGACAAAUAGAAGGAUGCAAGAAAAGUUAGUCGCACAUGAUUCGACUAUUAAAGGUGUUGAAACUUAGUUAGGCAUGUUGUCCAUGGAUUUAAAUAAUCGCCCACAAGAAACGUUGCCUGCAGACACAAACAUUAAUCCAAAAGAGCAGAACCUGAAUCUGUUAAUGGUAGUGAGUCUUAAGAAUGGAAGGGAUUUGGACAGAAAGCAAGAAUUUGCUAAAUCUAAUAAAUACAUAGAGCCACUUACUCCAGUGCCAUUCGACAUCGAUGAGUCGACGGAGCUCAAAGAGGUUGUAAUUGAACAAGCGCAAGUUGACAAAGGCAAAGAGAAGAAAAUUGAACAACUCCAGAAUAGGUAGUGGAAAAGACACAAAGUCAUGGGCAAAAGCUAAUUCCAUCACCAUUCCCUCAAAGUUUGGCAAAGCAAAAGAAAGAUGAUCAAUAUAGGAAAUUCAUGGAAAUGCUUUAACAAAUUCAAUUAAAUAUUCCACUGAUGGAUACUUUGAGGGAAAUGCCAGGCUAUGCGAAAAUGAUGAAGGAUUUGAUAUCUUAAUAGUUUGAAUUCCAGGACCUAUCUACUGUAACUCUGGCACAAACUUGUAUUGUGGUAGUGACAAGACCUAUGACUCAAAAUGUGUUUAAUCCCGAUAGUUUCACUAUCCCAUGUACAAUUGGAAGUUAUGCUUUUACUAAAGCAUUUUGCGACUUGGGAGCCAGUAUUAACUUGAUGCCCUUAGCAAUCUACACAAAGUUAGCCAUUGGCAGAGCUAGGCCAACCUCAAUGUUGUUGUAACUGGCUAAUCGCACAGUGAAAAGGCCAACAUGAAUCCUGGAUGAUGUGAUCGUCCAAGUGGGGAAGUUUGUAUUUCCUGCUGAUUUUGUGAUUCUUGAUUUCUAGGUUGACGAAGAAAUACUCAUAAUUUUGGGAAGGCCGUUUUUAGCCACUAGAAGAGCAUUGGUUAAUUGUGAGACUAGAGAGUUGAAAAUGAGGUUGAAUAAAGAAGAAAUAAUAUUCAAUGUUCAACAGUUUAUGAGGAGGCCCAAUAAAUUUGCAAAUUGUUCGCUAGUGGAGGCCGUUGAUGUGAUACUACAAGAGGUGGAUGAGACUCUUAAUGUUAGAGACCCAUCAAAAAAUUGUUUGAUAAAUUUGAACGAAGUGGAUAAUGAAAAUUUUGCAAAGUGGAUCAUGGCUCUCAAAAGGCAAGGGUUCUGGAAAAGGAAACCUCAAUUUGAGCUACUAUACUUAGAAGAAA
Long non-coding RNA from Nicotiana tabacum (common tobacco), 3087 nucleotides. RefSeq lists it as uncharacterized. NCBI's taxonomy places the organism in Eukaryota, Viridiplantae, Streptophyta, Magnoliopsida, Solanales, Solanaceae. The record is from RefSeq and is a predicted model, not a curated record.